Molecule: ribosomal RNA, 497 nt
Filed under: uncultured bacterium
Lineage: Bacteria
Description: partial 16S ribosomal RNA
Rfam family: Bacterial small subunit ribosomal RNA
Source: RNAcentral
GAUGAACGCUGGCGGCGUGCCUAAUACAUGCAAGUCGAGCGAACAGACGAGGAGCUUGCUCCUCUGACGUUAGCGGCGGACGGGUGAGUAACACGUGGAUAACCUACCUAUAAGACUGGGAUAACUUCGGGAAACCGGAGCUAAUACCGGAUAAUAUAUUGAACCGCAUGGUUCAAUAGUGAAAGACGGUUUUGCUGUCACUUAUAGAUGGAUCCGCGCCGCAUUAGCUAGUUGGUAAGGUAACGGCUUACCAAGGCAACGAUGCGUAGCCGACCUGAGAGGGUGGUAGGCCACACUGGAACUGAGACACGGUCCAGACUCCUACGGGGGGCAGCAGUAGGGAAUCUUCCGCAAUGGGCGAAAGCCUGACGGAGCAACGCCGCGUGAGUGAUGAAGGUCUUCGGAUCGUAAAACUCUGUUAUUAGGGAAGAACAAAUGUGUAAGUAACUAUGCACGUCUUGACGGUACCUAAUCAGAAAGCCACGGCUAACUACGUG